Molecule: ribosomal RNA, 492 nt
Filed under: uncultured bacterium
Lineage: Bacteria
Description: partial 16S ribosomal RNA
Rfam family: Bacterial small subunit ribosomal RNA
Source: RNAcentral
AGUGAACGCUGGCGGUAGGCCUAACACAUGCAAGUCGAACGGCAGCACAGUAAGAGCUUGCUCUUACGGGUGGCGAGUGGCGGACGGGUGAGGCAUACAUCGGAAUCUACUUUUUCGUGGGGGAUAACGUAGGGAAACUUACGCUAAUACCGCAUACGACCUACUGGUGAAAGCAGGGGAUCUUCGGACCUUGCGCGAUUGAAUGAGCCGAUGUCGGAUUAGCUAGUUGGCGGGGUAAAGGCCCACCAAGGCGACGAUCCGUAGCUGGUCUGAGAGGAUGAUCAGCCACACGGGAACGGAGACACGGUCCAGACUCCUACGGGAGGCAGCAGUGGGGAAUAUUGGACAAUGGGCGCAAGCCUGAUCCAGCCAUACCGCGUGGGUGAAGAAGGCCUUCGGGUUGUAAAGCCCUUUUGUUGGGAGAGAAAAGCAGCAGGUUAAUACGCCGCUGGUCUGACGGUACCCAAAGAAUAAGCACCGGCUAACUUCGUG